RNAcentral lists this ribosomal RNA (265 nucleotides) under uncultured archaeon. Its description in RNAcentral is "partial 16S ribosomal RNA". It matches the Rfam family "Archaeal small subunit ribosomal RNA", at positions 717 to 982 of the family's 1478-position model. The record is from RNAcentral.
ACACGACUACAUUAGAUACCCCCGUAGUCCUAGCCGUAAACGAUACUCGCUAGGUGUCGGCCACGGUGCGACCGUUGUCGGCGCCGUAGGGAAGCCGUGAAGCGAGCCACCUGGGAAGUACGGCCGCAAGGCUGAAACUUAAAGGAAUUGGCGGGGGAGCACAACAACGGGUGGAGCUUGCGGUUUAAUUGGAUUCAACGCCGGAAAUCUUACCGGGACCGACAGCAACAUGAAGGCCAAGCUGAAGACUUUGCCGGAUUAGCUG